Long non-coding RNA from Anopheles funestus (African malaria mosquito), 2979 nucleotides. RefSeq lists it as uncharacterized. The transcript is spliced from 3 exons. The record is from RefSeq and is a predicted model, not a curated record. Lineage: Eukaryota; Metazoa; Arthropoda; Insecta; Diptera; Culicidae.
UGAUUUUUUUAUUAUUUUUCACUCUUUUUUUUAUUUCAAGCAUUAUUAGAGUGAAAAGAAACUCAUUGCAACCCAUUGGCAUUAAAAUAAAACAAUUUAAUUUUUUUUGCAAAAUUUCCCAAAAAAAUCGUAAGGGGUAAGCCUUAUGAAAUUUUCGAGUGGAAAAUUUUUUUGAAAUUUUUUUCUGAUUUUUUAUUCUUUUUUUAAUUUAAAGCAUUAUUUAAGUGAAAAGAAACUUAUUGCAACAAAUUCCCAUCAAAAUAUAUCACAUUUCAAAUUUUUGCUACAUUGCUCAAAAAUGAGGAAAAUUUUACAUUUUCUCAAACAGGGUAAGGAACUUGGUUCCUCGAAUAACUUCUGGCACAGACAUCUGAGGGCAUGGCCGUCCAAGAAGAAAAUGUAGCCAUUGGUGCCAUCUAUCGACCACAGGUUAAAGAUUGGCGAUCCGUUGGAUACCGACCGAGUUAUAGGCAAAAGUUGGUGCAAAAAUGAGGAAAAUUUUUCAUUUUCUCAAACAGGGUAUGGAACUUGGUUCUUCGAAUAACUUCUGGCACAGACAUCCGAGGGCAUGGCCGUCCAAGAAGAAAAUGUAGCCAUUGGUGCCAUCUAUCGACCACAGGUUAAAGAUUGGCAAUCCGUUCGAUACCGACCGAGUUAUAGGCAAAUUUUGGUGCAAAAAUGAGGAAAAUUUUCAUUUUUUUUUAAUUUUUUGAUUUUUUUUAUUAUUUUUCACUCUUUUUUUUUAUUUCAAGCAUUAUUAGAGUGAAAAGAAACUCAUUGCAACCCAUUGGCAUUAAAAUAAAACAAUUUAAUUUUUUUUGCAAAAUUUCCCAAAAAAAUCGUAAGGGGUAAGCCUUAUGAAAUUUUCGAGUGGAAAAUUUUUGUGAAAUUUUUUUUUGAUUUUUUAUUCUUUUUUUAAUUUAAAGCACUAUUUAAGUUAAAAGAAACUUAUUGCAACAAAUUCCCAUCAAAAUAUAUCACAUUUCAAAUUUUUGCUACAUUGCUCAAAAAUGAGGAAAAUUUUACAUUUUCUCAAACAGGGUAAGGAACUUGGUUCCUCGAAUAACUUCUGGCACAGACAUCUGAGAGCAUGGCCGUCCAAGAAGAAAAUGUAGCCAUUGGUGCCAUCUAUCGACCACAGGUUAAAGAUUGGCGAUCCGUUGGAUACCGACCGAGUUAUAGGCAGAAUUUGGAGCAAAAAUGAGGAAGACUUUACAUUUUCUCAAACAGGGUAAGGGACUUGGUUCCUCGAAUAACUUCUGGCACAGACAUCUGAGAGCAUGGCCGUCCAAGAAGAAAAUGUAGCCAUUGGUGCCAUCUAUCGACCACAGGUUAAAGAUUGGCGAUCCGUUCGAUACCGACCGAGUUAUAGGCAAAAUUUGGUGCAAAAAUGAGGAAAAUUUUCAUAUUUUUUUUUAAUUUUUUGAUUUUUUUAUUAUUUUUCACUCUUUUUUUUAUUUCAAGCAUUAUUAGAGUGAAAAGAAACUCAUUGCAACCCAUUGGCAUUAAAAUAAAACAAUUUAUUUUUUUUUUGCAAAAUUUCCCAAAAAAAUCGUAAGGGGUAAGCCUUAUGGAAUUUUCGAGUGGAAAAUUUUUUUGAAAUUUUUUUCUGAUUUUUUAUUCUUUUUUUAAUUUAAAGCACUAUUUAAGUGAAAAGAAACUUAUUGCAACAAAUUCCCAUCAAAAUAUAUCACAUUUCAAAUUUUUGCUACAUUGCUCAAAAAUGAGGAAAAUUUUACAUUUUCUCAAACAGGAUAAGGAACUUGGUUCCUCGAAUAACUUCUGGCACAGACAUCUAAGGGCAUGGCUGUCCAAGAAGAAAAUGUAGCCAUUGGUGCCAUCUAUCGACCACAGGUUAAAGUUUGGCGAUCCGUUGGAUACCGACCGAGUUAUAGGCAAAAUUUGGAGCAAAAAUGAGGAAGACUUUACAUUUUCUCAAACAGGGUAAGGGACUUGGUUCCUCGAAUAACUUCUGGCACAGACAUCUGAGAGCAUAGCCGUCCAAGAAGAAAAUGUAGCCAUUGGUGCCAUCUAUCGACCACAGGUUAAAGAUUGGCGAUCCGUUCGAUACCGACCGAGUUAUAGGCAAAAUUUGGUGUAAAAAUGAGGAAAAUUUUCAUAUUUUUUUUGAAUUUUUUUAUUUUUAUUAUUUUUCACUCUUUUUUUUAUUUCAAGCAUUAUUAGAGUGAAAAGAAACUCAUUGCAACCCAUUGGCAUUAAAAUAAAACAAUUUAAUUUUUUUUGCAAAAUUUCCCAAAAAAAUCGUAAGGGGUAAGCCUUAUGAAAUUUUCGAGUGGAAAACUUUUUUGAAAUUUUUUUCUGAUUUUUUAUUCUUUUUUUAAUUUAAAGCACUAUUUAAGUGAAAAGAAACUUAUUGCAACAAAUUCCCAUCAAAAUAUAUCACAUUUCAAAUUUUUGCUACAUUGCUCAAAAAUGAGGAAAAUUUUACAUUUUCUCAAACAGGGUAAGGAACUUGGUUCCUCGAAUAACUUCUGGCACAGACAUCUGAGGGCAUGGCCGUCCAAGAAGAAAAUGUAGCCAUUGGUGCCAUCUAUCGACCACAGGUUAAAGAUUGGCGAUCCGUUGGAUACCGACCGAGUUAUAGGCAAAAGUUGGUGCAAAAAUGAGGAAAAUUUUUCAUUUUCUCAAACAGGGUAUGGAACUUGGUUCUUCGAAUAACUUCUGGCACAGACAUCCGAGGGCAUGGCCGUCCAAGAAGAAAAUGUAGCCAUUGGUGCCAUCUAUCGACCACAGGUUAAAGAUUGGCAAUCCGUUCGAUACCGACCGAGUUAUAGGCAAAUUUUGGUGCAAAAAUGAGGAAAAUUUUCAUUUUUUUUUUAAUUUUUUGAUUUUUUUCAUUAUUUUUCACCCUUUUUUUAUUGCAAGCAUUAUUAGAGUGAAAAGAAACUCAUUGCAACCCAUUGGCAUUAAAAUAAAACAAUUCUAUUUUUUUUUGCAAAAUUUCCCAAAAAAAUCGUA